AGUUUCAGGUGUAGAGCAAAGUGAUUCAGUUAUACGUGUGUUUUAUUAUAAGAUAUUGGAUAUAAUUUCCUAUGCUGUAGAGUAAAUCCUUGUUACACAACCUAGAAUAGAUUUACAAGGAGAUCCCGCUGAAUAGCAUUGAGAACUAUGUCUAGAUACUCAUGUUGCAACAGAAGAAAUGGUGGGGGAAAAACUGUAAUUGUAAUGUAUACAUGUGAGGAUAACCUGACCCCCUUGCUGUACAGUGGGAAAA
RNAcentral lists this long non-coding RNA (253 nucleotides) under Sus scrofa (pig). RNAcentral's name for it is "lncRNA (ENSSSCG00015018700.1)". The record is from RNAcentral. Lineage: Eukaryota; Metazoa; Chordata; Mammalia; Artiodactyla; Suidae.